RNAcentral lists this long non-coding RNA (5117 nucleotides) under Callithrix jacchus (white-tufted-ear marmoset). RNAcentral's name for it is "lncRNA (ENSCJAG00000081611.1)". The record is from RNAcentral. Lineage: Eukaryota; Metazoa; Chordata; Mammalia; Primates; Cebidae.
CAACCUCUCCCUUGAUAGGAGGAAGCAACUGGCUUCCAGAGACCUGGAAAGGCCCUCCCAAUCCCUCUAGGCUUCCCAAACCAAGCCCCCAGCUUUUGUUUACAGGGGCAGGGAGUUUGUGGACAGCACCAUUUGUGCCCAGAGAGGGGAAGUGAUUUGCCCAAGGUCACACAGCCAGGGAGACUGAAUUUUUCUUCAGGUCAGGCCUCCCUGAAAAAGGGGUGCAUGUAGCUGGUGGCUGUGGCCUUGGGAAAAGAGACCAGCCCUUCUCUCCUGGCUAGGGGAGAGAAACUAGGCUGGGGGAGAACGAGAGGGGGCAUGGCAGGGACCUGGCAGGGACCCAGGGAGGAGUAGAACAGAGGCCCUGCUCCAGAGCACAGCAGGUCAAUGGGUUGGUUGUUGCCAUGGUUUGAAUGUUUUUUGCCGCCUCCAAAACUCAUGUGUUAUUAAUGCUGCUAUAAAAAGGGCUUGUGGGAGUGGGCUCCCCCUCUCUUCUGCUCUUCUGCCAUGUGAGGACACGGCGUUCCUCCCCUCCAGAUGAUACAGUGUUCAAGGCACCAUCUCGGAAGCAGAGAAACCGGGUCCCAACCCGCCAGCACCUUGGACUUCUCGGCCUCCAGAAGUCUGCCAAGACAUGUGCGGAAGACCCCAGAUGCUUUCCAAGUGCCCCUGUCACAGCAGAGCUUGGAUGAGCAAGAGGAGGUGGAGCGUCUGAACUUUUCCAGGGGCCACUUGAGGAAGGGGUUUCUGGACAUGGCUGGUUUGGAGCAAGGCUUUGAGAAGGAGGACUUCGGGCACAUGACGGAUUUGGGCCACGAUGACGCCGGGCUGCCUCUCACUAGCCUCUCUGUGAUGAUCUCCAACAGUAACUGGUGAAACCCAAAACAGUAAAUACUGACAAGGGGAUAGUAAUCAUGACUGUUUUACAUUCACUGAACUCGCUGCUGCGGGGGUGGGGACUAGAUGGUAAGUAAUGCGCAAAGACUGUAAAUCACCCCAAAAACCGAUAGAUCCAGCAGGAGAUUGACCCAACUUCCUGGCCCUGGUGCUGGUGUCUCCGGGGCCAUCAUGGGGGACAGCGCUGGGACUCCCAGCGUUGCUCUGGUGCAGGAUUAGGGGUAACCCCACCCCAGGAGACCGGGCCUGGGUUCCAGCCUAGCUGUGCCAACUAGUUGCUGUGCUACUCCGGGCUGGUCACUCCCCUGCUCUGGGCUCCUUCUCUUUCAGCUGUGAAUUGGUGGACUCUGAUAUUCUACAAUUCCAAGUCUCCUCUGCCCUACUCAGAUUCUUUAAGAUUUCUGAGCCUUUUAGGAAGAGGCUGGCCCUGUCCAGACUCCUAGGAGGGCUCAAGCAUGGGGAGGGAAUAGGGUGGAUGAGGGUCCUGCCAAGGCUCCUGCCUGGCCGGUGACAGGAAGGCAGUGGAUCAUGGCACAGCGAGCGAUUUUACUGGAAAGAUGAAAGGAAAUUGCAUCUUUAAUAAUUCACCGGCUGGUUUGAAGGGAGGCAGGUCGGCGGGGCUGUGGAGCCGCCAGGCUAUCCCAGCCUCUGUUCCUGGAAAUCCUCUGGCUCCAGAACCUGCCCGAGAGACCCGGGGCCCUCCAUCUCCUCCUGGCCCAAGGACAGCAUGAGCCGACAGAGUCUAGACCAGGGUAAGAGGUUAAAACACAGCCAUCCCGGGAACCCACUAAAUUGAUAUCCCCAGCAAAAAGGGAGCCAAAAUAAUCAAUACAGCAGCAGCCCAGGAAAGUGGCCAAGCUCGGGCCCCAGCCUGAUGGAGUCACUGCAGUAAAGGAGGGUCGGGCUCUGGCCAGCUGCCUGGGGCUUUGGUGAGCAGACUGGCAGCAGAGGCUCUAACUGGAGUCACCAGGAGUGGAAGGGCACCUGGAGGUAGGCAGGGGCCAUCAAUACUGUCCAGUUAGUGGGGUGGGUGCGGGGGGCCACGCUGCCUGGUGUCCUCCAUGGGUCCUUGUUUCGCCCUUCCUUCCUGGUCUCUCUCUCAAGUGGGAAUGCCUGGGCUCAUGCUGAUGCGUCAGGACCUUCAGCCUGCGAGCCCUGAGUGCCAGUCAGAGAAAGAAGCAGCUGAAGCCGGGAGGAGGUGGCACAGGACACAGGGAGAAGGUGCCAAAGAGUCAAAGGUUCUGGAGACCACAGGUGUUGGUUGGACUCCCAGCCCAGUCCCUCGGGCAAAUCACUCAUGGGUUGGAGCUGGUCCCCAUGAAUGGGACCUCAGGGGACACGAAGAGGUGCAAGACCCUGUGCUCCCAGGAGGAGCUUUGCAUCUGUAGGCUGUCAUCAUGAUUGGGCCUUUUCCUCAAAGGCUGUCGAAUCGUGGUUGAUUCCACUGAAAUUUCAGUGCUCUCCUGGGUGGGUUAGCCUGGGUGGAAACUGGAUUAGAGGGGAGAGAACACCAUCAAGGAGGCCAGACCACGGCAUGGUGGAAGUCCAGGGCCAAAACAGGCCCACACAGAGCAACUGUUAAAAUCUCUCUCCCUCUGUUCCCUCCCUUCCUUCCUCCCUCUCCUGCUAAUUAACAAAGACAACUCAAGAAUCACAGAGAAGGCCAGGAGUGGUGGUUCAUGCCUAUUAUCCCAGCACUUUGGGAGGCUGAGGCAGGUGGGUCACUUGAGGUCAAGAGAUUGAGACCAGCCUAGCUAAUAUGGUGAAAACCUGUCUUUACUGAAAAUAAAAAAAUUACCUAGGUGUGGUGGCGGGUGCCUGUAAUCCUAGCUACUUGGGAGGCUGAGGCAGGAGAAUCGCUUGAACCCAGGAGGUGGAGGGUGCAGUGAGCUAAAACCUAACCUUUGCACUCCAGUCUGGGUAACAAGAGUGAGAUUACAUCUAAAAAAAAAAAAAAGUCACAGAGAACACACCUUAAAAACUAACAUACCCAUCCUUCUUUUACAGAUGGGGAAACUGAGGCCCAAAUAACACUUCUAUGGGCACCUAACUGGUUGGGGUGGAAGCAGGACUAGAAUUCUCUGCCAUCCCCCAAUCCGUGCCCUUACCCCAAGUCCAGGAGCCUCUGGUUCCCUUCUGUCCAGCUCUAAUGCUGGGAGGCGUGGUGUGGCCUCGAGGCUGGGCAACUCACCCUGACUCACUGUCUGGUCCUGGCCCACUCUGGUCCUCUGAGGCUCAGCCUUCUUCCCUGGAAAACUAGGAUCCCACCCCCAACCCCAGCCAACCUCAGGGGGCCCUCAGGAGGGCCCAGGGACCAGCACAACUUUAAUUCCAGGUCAGCAAAACAUUUCUUACCUGGUAGGUCUCAUACUUUUCAAAGUCACCGGGGGUCAGAAAGCAGGCAAAGGUGGUUCCUGAGUAGAUCAACAGGUGGCUUCAAACCCCCAUUCGUGCAGCAAAGCUCAUGCUUUUUGGUAUAAAAAUGCCCCUCAGGCCCUCACGCAGGGCCUAUUUGCUCUUACUUGGCAGAGAGUUUGGACAAGUUUGGUGAUCUAGUUUCUCAGGCCACAACGGGUAUACUGAUAGUAGGAAGAAGAACUUUAUGAUGACAGAGAAGGGAGAACAAUUGUAAAAUGCAGAUCUAGUAAUUAAAAGAGCAAGGCAGAUGGGGUCCACCUUGACAAUCCCGAGGCUAAGCCUGCACUGCAGUCUGGUCUACUCAGUAGCAUUGUCAGAAGGACCUGAGUCACCAAGUUCCAACACACGGUGCCUUCUGAGAAAUUUGGGAUGUGGAGGAUCCUCUGUGGAAAGAUUCCUACCAAAAAAUGAAAAUAAAAAGUUUCGCUGUUUAAAAGGUAGAUGACAGCUACAGAAAAUGAAGGUAUGCGUAACGCCUCAUCCUGCAGCGUGCCAGGUGCCGGGAUGGAGAGAGCUGGCUGAACAUCAGAGCCUGCAUGGUUUCCCUCUCCCAUGGGGGUACCUCCCACCUGGCCAAUUAACUGGGUUUUCUCCUGUUCCUCACUGUUCCUCUCCCCUUUAAUCCAUGUCAGCCUCUUUCAAUCCCAGGCCAGGUCCUCCUGUGUAAGACAGAGAAGGUCCCACUCCGGGUAUAAUGGGAGGAGGGGAGGGCACUUAGGUGGAUGCCUGGUUUGAGGCAUGCCCAUGGUGUUAGCUGUACCUCCGUGACCUUGGGUGAGUCCCAAGGUCUUGGUAAGGCCCUCGAUGUCCUCAUCUGUUAAAUGGGAGGCUGGCUUUAAAUUGCCUUCCAUAUCCUGGUAUCCUGUGUGCUGCAGGAAGAUGUCUUCCUUAAUUCUUCCUGUCUUCUUCUGAUAAGGAGCCUCUGACUUUGACCGUCAUCGGCUGACCCCAUCUGCUGACCCCUGGCAGCCCACCCUGAGGCCGGCCUCAUGUGCUGGGUCAGCUCCCCACCAGGAGACUAGGUCCCUGGCCACUGCCUCGCUGGGCAGCCCCUCCCCGGGGAUAGGGGCGCCAUUGCCAGAAGGUGCAGCUGUGUGUGCCAGUAGGGCACCUCACUGUGGGAUUUUCUUUACGUGCCACCCUCUCUGCCGCUAGCCUCCACUGCAAGGUUCCCAUUGCCUCACGGUGGGUGCACAGGAGGGGGGUGGCAUUGACCUGGACAGCGACUGGACUUCAUUCUUCAACUACAGUGGCAACCCUCGGCUUGAGGACAGGGCGGUGUGUCUUCCUUCUGUAUCUCCCAGGGCAGGGCUCAGCUCUGUCUUGCACCCAGCAGGUGUUCAAGGUCAGCUGAUGGGUGCUUGGUGGGGCAUGACGUGGGUGGCUUUUGGGCUCACCUGUUAGUGCUUCACUGAGAAUGGCGAGGCCAACACCCUAAGUCUCAGCUUCAAAAGUGCUUAAAAGUUCAGCCAAACCCCACACCGACCCCAGUCCCGAUGACCCCCAUCCCAGCGGGUCCUUGCGGGAGAGCAGAUAGGCUUUAGUGCCCACCCAUGGCCCGAGAGAAUCAGAGGCACAAAGAGCCAGCAAGGUGGGGGAGUCUGGUGGUUAAGAGGGAAGAGAGCUGUCAUUUGUGGAGGACUCAGAGCUCAUGUUCUGUUUCUCCAAACAGUCCAACAAGAUGAGGUUGUACACGCUGGUACUCCCAUUCUCAACAGAGGAACAACGCGGGAAGAGGCCCAGUGAGCUGCCCAGCCUUCCUAACCCUAUUCCUCUCUCAGAGGACGUAUCCGAUUCAUCGC